Molecule: transfer RNA, 77 nt
Filed under: Lentisphaerae bacterium RIFOXYA12_64_32
Lineage: Bacteria; Pseudomonadati; Lentisphaerota
Also listed under: 1 other name
Description: tRNA-Arg
Rfam family: tRNA
About the family: Transfer RNA (tRNA) molecules are approximately 80 nucleotides in length.
Source: RNAcentral
GCGCCCGUAGCUCAGUUGGAUAGAGCGUCUGCCUCCGGAGCAGAAGGCCGCAGGUUCAACUCCUGCCGGGCGCACCA